GGCGCUGUCUGUGGCGGAUCCACUCUCUUUCCCCCCUUCAGUCUGUGGAGCCCGGGUUGGUUAAUGGUAUAAGACUGUGACCGUCGGCGGGUUGCGGCCUGAGGGGUAGCGGAAUGUACAUGCAUGCAUCUCAUUGGUUGAAUGUAGAGUACUGGUUGUCGUGGCUAUGUCAAAGAGCUGGGCCAGUCUGCCCACAGGGUCUGAUGGAAGAUGUGCAGAGCCAAAUGGAGAAAAGAUUGAGAUGCUGCAUAAUCCAAAGUUUAUGCUUGAAACUUAUGCUUGAUUUUGUAAGUGGCAGUGGGAAUCAAUUAUUUCCUUCUCCUGAUUGUUUUCUCCUUCCUUACAGCCAUAUGUUGAAAUAUAUUUUGAUAUGAAGGGGCAAUACAAUAGUGCUAUUAUUUUUAAUGCAUGAAAAUGAAUAUCAGCAGGCUUAUUGUUUUUGUUCUGAGGAUAUGAGUGUCAUAAAAAUAUCAUGGGGGAGGCAGUGGCCUAGUGGUAUUAUCACUGGAUUGUUAAUCCAGAGACCCAGAUAACAUUUUGUGG
Long non-coding RNA from Rhincodon typus (whale shark), 543 nucleotides. RefSeq lists it as uncharacterized. The record is from RefSeq and is a predicted model, not a curated record. The transcript has 3 exons. Lineage: Eukaryota; Metazoa; Chordata; Chondrichthyes; Orectolobiformes; Rhincodontidae.